RNAcentral lists this ribosomal RNA (476 nucleotides) under Candidatus Scalindua wagneri. RNAcentral's name for it is "bacterial SSU rRNA". It matches the Rfam family "Bacterial small subunit ribosomal RNA", at positions 365 to 832 of the family's 1533-position model. RNAcentral also lists the same sequence under 1 other name. The record is from RNAcentral. Lineage: Bacteria; Pseudomonadati; Planctomycetota; Candidatus Brocadiia; Candidatus Brocadiales; Candidatus Scalinduaceae.
UUCGCAAUGCCCGAAAGGGUGACGAUGCGACGCCGCGUGAGCGAAGAAGGCCCUAGGGUUGUAAAGCUCUGUCGAGGGUUAUGAAAUAUAGAUGGGUUAAUACCACAUUUAUUUGACAAAAGCCCAAAAGGAAGCCACGGCUAACUCUGUGCCAGCAGCCGCGGUAAUACAGAGGUGGCGAGCGUUGUUCGGUAUUAUUGGGCGUAAAGAGCACGUAGGUGGUUUUGUAAGUCAGGUGUGAAAGCCUUCUGUUCAAAGGAAGAACGGCAUCUGAAACUGCAGAUCUUGAGUGUAGGAGGGGAGAGUGGAACUUCUGGUGGAGCGGUGAAAUGCGUAGAUAUCAGAAGGAACGUCGGCGGCGAAAGCGACUCUCUGGCCUAUUACUGACACUGAGGUGCGAAAGUUAGGGGAGCAAACGGGAUUAGAUACCCCGGUAGUCCUAACCGUAAACGAUGGGCACUAAGUAGAGGGGUUUU